CGCAAAAAUACAUGUGGGAGAAGAGUCAGGAACAGGGUUGUGGGCGUUUGAUAGACCUCCCUUGGAGUUGGCCAUCGUUGUGUGAUAACGAAGAUACGGCCUGAUGCUACGAGUAUGGACACUAUCGAUUCGACAAUCAACAGCGGUGGUUGGGCACUUGCGAUGCGCUGCUCCCUUCGUCGGUGGGAUCUCAAGAAAGAACGAAUUUUCGUCCCAAUGAUGCCACAGAGGAAAACUAUGAUGGGGUGUAUCUAAGGCCACGAGAUCAUCGGAUCCGUCGGGUAUAGCCCUCGUUCCGAAAGUAAGGGAAAUUGACGUCGCUGUCAAUUGGUCAGUUUGGGACAAAGACUGUCUGUCCGUUUGAAAAAUCUUAAUUGCCGGAACAACCCAGGUUUUAUAGCGGGUCCUCGGGCUAACUGGACUUGUGCUGUGCACGUGCCUCAACAUCAGGCGAAGCGCCCGUCCCGUUGACCGCGGCUACGUUCGGCGACUGAUGGUCGCCUUGAGCCCAAGUUUAUUAUCACAAACCGCAAACAA
Molecule: long non-coding RNA, 537 nt
Organism: Bombus huntii
Lineage: Eukaryota; Metazoa; Arthropoda; Insecta; Hymenoptera; Apidae
Exons: 3
Source: RefSeq, a predicted model, not a curated record